AUGAGCUGCACAAGCCUGGGGACCCCUGGUGCCAGCUCAGAUGCUCAAGGUGUGGAUGGUCAUCUUCCUCCCAACGUCUGCACAAGCUGGUUCUCUCCUAAGCUUGCUCCCAUCUUCAUUGGCCAUCCCAGCCCACCCUUCUGUCAGGAUGAACAAGUGUUUCUGUACAACCAUCAUGAGCUCCCUUACACCCACCAGCAUGCAGAUAAGUGCCCCAGGGCAAUAUGCGUGUGUAGGAUGAGUCACAGUAGGAGUUUCUGGCAAAAGUUUUGUGUGGUUGGGGGGAUGAUGACUUUCACAGCCACUGGGGAUUUUCUGCCUGACCCCCGCCUUGGGAUUUGUGAGCAAGGACUGAGCGCACAUGGUAGCCCUGUGGGGUAUCAGCAUCAUGGCACUGCAGCAGCAUUUCCCCAGGCUCUGCUGUCCCCACUACACAGGGUGGAUGAGAUUUUCUGGAGCAGCCUAUUCUUUGCAAGCAAGCCUUCUGGAAGCAAUAACCCUCUCCACAGCAUUUUCCUCCUCCCCUGCUUAUCAGCUCUUUUGCUUAUUGCCCUGUCACUCAGCACCAUGAGAUACGUUGGGCACCAGAGUACAGAAAGGACAUAAAACGACUAGAAAGUGUCCAAAGGAAGGCUAUGAAGAUGGUGAAGAGUCUGGAGGGUGAGAGGUAUGAGGAGCAGCCGAGGUCCCUGUGUGUGCUUAGCACAGAGCAGAGGAGCUGAAGGGAGGCUUGAUGGCGGCUGCAGCUCCUCACAGGGAGCGGAGGGGGAGCGCUGAGCUCUGCUCUCUGUGACAGUGCCUUAGGGAACAGCAUGGAGCUGUGUCAGGGGAAGGGCAGGUUGGUUCUUCACCAGAGGGCGGUGGGCAUGGAACAGGCUCCCCAGGGCAAUGGGCACAGCCCCAAGCCGACACUUCAAGGAUAGUUUGGACAGUGCUCAUAGACAUGAGGUCUGAUUUUUGGGAGGUGUUGUGUGGAUCCAUGAGUUGGACUUGAUCCUUAUGGGUGCCUUCCACCCAUAUUCUAUUAUUCUAUGAUUCUGUGAUAUUUUUGCACGUCUCCAAAAUGAGCUUCCAGGCUGAGUAUCCCGAGUGAUUUGGUGUCACCUGCAACUUUUGCCACUCACUAUUCCCUCACUACUUCCAGAUCAUUCUGCAUUCCAUAAACAGUGCGAUCAAAGGGCUGGACCACCUCUCCUAUGAAGGAAGGUUGAGGAGCUAGGCUUGUUUACCUUGAAAAAGAGAAGAAUCUGGGGAGACCUCACUGCAGCCUUCCAGUAUUUGGAGGGAGCUUACAACCAGGAUGGGGACUGAAUUUUCACAUGGUCUGAUAGUGAUAGAAAAUAGAGGAAUGGCUUUAAACUAAAACAGGAGAGAUUUAGGUUAGAUGCUAGGAAGAAAUUUUGUACUUAGAGGGUGUUGAGGUGCUGGAAGAGGUUGCCUUGAGAGGUUGUGGAUGCCUCAUCUCUGGAGGUAUUCAAGGCCAGGUUGGAGGGGGGCCUGAGUGACAUGAUCUGGUGGUUGGCAGCACUGCCCGUGGAAGGGGGUCUGGGAUGAGAUGAUCUUUAAGGUCCCCUCCAACCUAAGCUGUUCUGUGAUUUUAUGAUUC
This is a long non-coding RNA of Phasianus colchicus (ring-necked pheasant), 1606 nucleotides long. Lineage: Eukaryota; Metazoa; Chordata; Aves; Galliformes; Phasianidae. The record is from Ensembl.